GUAAAAUGGCUGAGUGAAGCAUUAGACUGUAAAUCUAAAGACAGAGGUUUACAUCCCUCUUUUUACCN
This 68-nucleotide transfer RNA is filed under the name Megaloceros sp. Ari66. Its description in RNAcentral is "tRNA-Tyr". It matches the Rfam family "tRNA". From Rfam's summary of the family: Transfer RNA (tRNA) molecules are approximately 80 nucleotides in length. The record is from RNAcentral. Lineage: Eukaryota; Metazoa; Chordata; Mammalia; Artiodactyla; Cervidae.